CCUACGGGUAGCAGCAGUGAGGAAUAUUGGUCAAUGGGCGAGAGCCUGAAGCAGCCAAGUCGCGUGAGGGAAGACGGUCCUAUGGAUUGUCAACCUCUUUUGCCGGGGAGCAAAAAGCGGUACGUGUACCGCAUCGAGAUUACCCGGAUAAAAGGCAUCGGCUAACUCCGUGCCAUCAGACGAGGUAAUACGGAGGAUGCGAGCGUUAUCCGGAUGUAGUGGGUGUAACGGGUGAGCAGGCGGCGAGUUAAGUCAGCGGUAAAAUUGCGGGGCUCAACCCCGCCGAGCCGUUGAAACUGGCUUGCUAGAGUGGGCGAGAAGUAUGCGGAAUGCGUGGUGUAGCGGUGAAAUGCAUAGAUAUCACGCAGAACUCCGAUUGCGAAGGCAGCAUACCGGCGCCCAACUGACGCUCAGGCACGAAAGCGUGGGUAUCGAACAGGAGUAGAUACCCGAGUAGUC
RNAcentral lists this ribosomal RNA (459 nucleotides) under uncultured bacterium. RNAcentral describes it as "partial 16S ribosomal RNA". It matches the Rfam family "Bacterial small subunit ribosomal RNA", at positions 338 to 795 of the family's 1533-position model. The record is from RNAcentral.